This 376-nucleotide ribosomal RNA is filed under the name Salmonella enterica subsp. enterica serovar Bareilly. Its description in RNAcentral is "partial 23S ribosomal RNA". It matches the Rfam family "Bacterial large subunit ribosomal RNA", at positions 1 to 417 of the family's 2925-position model. RNAcentral also lists the same sequence under 1 other name. The record is from RNAcentral. Lineage: Bacteria; Pseudomonadati; Pseudomonadota; Gammaproteobacteria; Enterobacterales; Enterobacteriaceae.
GUUAAGCGACUAAGCGUACACGGUGGAUGCCCUGGCAGUCAGAGGCGAUGAAGGGCGUGCUAAUCUGCGAUAAGCGCCGGUAAGGUGAUAUGAACCGUUAUAACCGGCGAUACCCGAAUGGGGAAACCCAGUGUGAUUCGUCACACUAUCAUUAACUGAAUCCAUAGGUUAAUGAGGCGAACCGGGGGAACUGAAACAUCUAAGUACCCCGAGGAAAAGAAAUCAACCGAGAUUCCCCCAGUAGCGGCGAGCGAACGGGGAGGAGCCCAGAGCCUGAAUCAGCAUGUGUGUUAGUGGAAGCGUCUGGAAAGGCGCGCGAUACAGGGUGACAGCCCCGUACACAAAAGCGCAUGUGCUGUGAGCUCGAUGAGUAGGG